Molecule: long non-coding RNA, 561 nt
Filed under: Homo sapiens (human)
Lineage: Eukaryota; Metazoa; Chordata; Mammalia; Primates; Hominidae
Description: non-protein coding lnc-CENPT-1:2
Source: RNAcentral
ACUGAUAGAGAAGGGCGUGGGCUGGGCCUACCCGGCAGGAGCCGCCUCACCCCAUCAGGCCCAGAUCCUCUAAGACAAGACAGGGAUAAAGUCUCCCGUGGAAUCCCCUCCCGCCUCAUAUUCCCUGACCCUGCCCUCCCUGCGAGAACUCCAGUCCGGGCUCCACAAAGGGCGCGGGUUCAAGCAAUUCUCCUGCCUCAGUUUCCAGAGUAGCUGGAAUUAUAGAUUCUGGGAAAGUGAACUCCACGGAAGACUCAGAAACCAAGUUCUAAUUCAGUUGCCAUGAAAACUUAAGGUGAGAGGAUUGUCAACCAGUGAAAAAUACGGAGGAAAACACUAACAGAAUAUGAUGAAGAAGCCAAGACUUGGGCUGCUUGCAUUACAUUAACCGAGGUUUACCCGCAGCGAGGCUGCCUCCAAAGCAUCCGGAGUUUGCAACCAUCACUGUCCACCCCGCGAGCUGCGAUAGUGCGAGAACUACAAUUCCCGUGGGGCUGUGCGGGAGCAUCGCGAGAGUUACAUUAACUGUGGCGGCGGGAAGGCGGAGCCUGCAGCUGGCUG